This 93-nucleotide ribosomal RNA is filed under the name Mesodinium rubrum. Its description in RNAcentral is "partial Eukaryotic small subunit ribosomal RNA". The record is from RNAcentral. Lineage: Eukaryota; Ciliophora; Litostomatea; Cyclotrichida; Mesodiniidae.
AUCCAGUUCUGGUAGAGUGUUUUAAGAUUGCUGAUGUUAAAAUACUUGAGGUAGAAAUUAAAGUAAAACCAUUUGAAUUAUUUAAUGAGGAAA